AAGCGCGAAGCUUCUUAGACCAAGACUUGUAGAUGGAAAAGGAGACAGAGGACUUAGAGGUGAAAGAGAUUGCAUUGUUACCAGGGAACAGGAAGAAAAUCUAUGUCCCGCCAUCCUUGUCCAGGGAUCAGAUCAACUCAGUGGUGAAUUCUGUGGAGACGCUGCUGGGUGAGGUGGAGCAGUUGCGGAAUCGCUGCAAGCAGCAGAAUGCAGAUGCCCGUGUACUAAUGGAGGAGCUGCGCCAAGAGAACUGCGAGCUGGCGCAGCGCUACCAGCAGGCUGAGCAUGAGAUGGAGGAAGUGAAGAAGGCGCUGGGGGAGCUCAUGGAAACCAAGGCAGCCUUCGAUGCCCAUGAGAGGCAGUUGCAGGAGGCAGCCUAACAAGCAGAGCCACUGAGAGGGGCCACGGUGAUGCUCUUCCAGUAGGGGGGUCCUGUCCUUGGCCCCUGACCCAGCUAACCCCAUCUGCCACCCACUGGCCUUUGAUAAAGAGUUGUAGGACAAACUUCAGAUAGAUUUCAGAUAGAAUCAUUAAACCACAUUCAUAACGCAAGGCACCUUCGCGCUGUGAGCCCAAAUCCCCAGCUACAUUGGGGAGGCAGGAUGCAGAGGAGUGUAGACUGUAGGACCUUAAUGGACAUCCUCCCCUGACAGAUGGGGAAACUGAGGCAGGAUUUGAACUCAGAUCUCCCUGACUCCCGAGUCUAGCCCUGAACAGCAUGCUACCUGAUUGCCUUCUUGUCAGAAAUGACAGACCCCUCUUUUUCAUGACUAUCUAUAAUCAACAUAUAUUGGCUCAGGGAUCACAGCUGAAGAUGUAGCUAUCAAAAGUCCUUAGAGGUCUAGAGCUGAAAAGCCCCUUAGACACCGCCAAAUCCAAUAUCAUCAUAUAGGUGAGGAAACUGAGGCAAACACAGGUGAAGUGACUUUCCUGAAUCUUGUAGUAAGUGUCUGAGGCAGGAUUCAAACCUGUGUCUUUUUGACUCCAGGAUUGGUGCUCUCCCAGAUGGACAGGAGUGGGUUCCACAGCUGGGGAGAGGGGGAAGACUCCUCUCUAAAUAGCAGGAAGUCAUCUGCAGGCUCCUUCAGUGCAGGACAGAAAGGUAGUGACCGCUUUGGGGCAGCAAGGUGGCACAGUGGAUAGAGCACUGGACCUGAGCUCAGGAAGACUCUUCUUCCUGAGUUCAACUCCAGGCUCAGAUACUUGCUAGCUUUGUGACCCUGGACAAGCUACCUUACCCUGUUUGCCUCAGUUUCCUCAUCUGUAAAAAAUGAGUUAGAGAAGGCAAUGGGCAAACUUCUUCAAUAUCUUUGUCAAGAAAACUGCAAAUGGGGUCUCGGUGAGUUGGACACAACUGAACAGCAAUAGGGAAGAGCUGAG
This 1380-nucleotide long non-coding RNA is filed under the name Monodelphis domestica (gray short-tailed opossum). RNAcentral describes it as "lncRNA (ENSMODG00000037143.1)". Lineage: Eukaryota; Metazoa; Chordata; Mammalia; Didelphimorphia; Didelphidae. The record is from RNAcentral.